This 492-nucleotide ribosomal RNA is filed under the name uncultured bacterium. RNAcentral's name for it is "partial 16S ribosomal RNA". It matches the Rfam family "Bacterial small subunit ribosomal RNA", at positions 30 to 507 of the family's 1533-position model. The record is from RNAcentral.
AGUGAACGCUGGCGGUAGGCCUAACACAUGCAAGUCGAACGGCAGCACAGUAAGAGCUUGCUCUUACGGGUGGCGAGUGGCGGACGGGUGAGGAAUACAUCGGAAUCUACUUUUUCGUGGGGGAUAACGUAGGGAAACUUACGCUAAUACCGCAUACGACCUACGGGUGAAAGCAGGGGAUCUUCGGACCUUGCGCGAUUGAAUGAGCCGAUGUCGGAUUAGCUAGUUGGCGGGGUAAAGGCCCACCAAGGCGGCGAUCCGUAGCUGGUCUGAGAGGAUGGUCGGCGGCACUGGAGGUUAGACAGGCACAAGAGUACUGAGGGACGGAGCAGUGGGCAAUAGGAGACAGUAGUGGGAAGCAUGGUACAGUGAGACGGAGUCGGUUAAGAAGGCGCCGGGGUUGUGAUGACCUUUUGUUGGGUAUAAACAGCAUCAGCUUGAGACGAAGCUGUUGUGACGGUACUCAAUGAAGAAGCACCGGCUAACUUCGUG